RNAcentral lists this transfer RNA (77 nucleotides) under Verrucomicrobiota bacterium. Its description in RNAcentral is "Verrucomicrobia bacterium (microbial mat metagenome) tRNA-Arg". It matches the Rfam family "tRNA". From Rfam's summary of the family: Transfer RNA (tRNA) molecules are approximately 80 nucleotides in length. The record is from RNAcentral. Lineage: Bacteria; Pseudomonadati; Verrucomicrobiota.
GCCCCGGUAGCUCAGCUGGACAGAGCAGCGGUUUCCUAAACCGCAGGUCGUAGGUUCGAUCCCUAUCCGGGGUACCA